RNAcentral lists this ribosomal RNA (252 nucleotides) under uncultured bacterium. RNAcentral's name for it is "partial 16S ribosomal RNA". It matches the Rfam family "Bacterial small subunit ribosomal RNA", at positions 524 to 776 of the family's 1533-position model. The record is from RNAcentral.
UACGAAGGGGCUAGCGUUGCUCGGAUUGACUGGGCGUAAAGGGCGCGUAGGCGGUUCGUACAGUCAGACGUGAAAUUCCUGGGCUCAACCUGGGGCUGCGUUUGAUACGUGCGGACUUGAGUGCGGAAGAGGGUCGUGGAAAUUCCCAGUGUAGAGGUGAAAUUCGUAGAUAUUGGGAAGAACACCGGUGGCGAAGGCGGCGACCUGGUCCGAUACUGACGCUGAGGCGCGAAAGCGUGGGGAGCAAACAGG